AUAUUGAUCAUCAAUAUCCAGCCCUGACUUUUCUUUUCAAUAAAAAGUAGAUUUGACUGAAAGCUACUUGAAAGGAUGAAGGUGCUUCUCAUUUUCUUGGUCUGACAUAAGAGCAACACUCCCCCUGCAUCUUUCUCCUUUUUCUUUCAUUGUUGCCCUCUCAUUUGUGAUCAUGAUCAAAAUAUAUCAAUAAGAAUGUGCUAAGGU
Molecule: unclassified non-coding RNA, 207 nt
Filed under: Hevea brasiliensis (rubber tree)
Lineage: Eukaryota; Viridiplantae; Streptophyta; Magnoliopsida; Malpighiales; Euphorbiaceae
Source: RNAcentral